UACGGAGGGUGCAAGCGUUAUCCGGAAUCACUGGGUUUAAAGGGUGCGUAGGCGGCUUGAUAAGUCAGAGGUGAAAGCUUCCCGCUCAACGGGAGAACUGCCUUUGAUACUGUCAGGCUUGAAUCGGCACGAGGCAGGCGGAAUGUGACAUGUAGCGGUGAAAUGCUUAGAUAUGUCAUAGAACACCGAUUGCGAAGGCAGCCUGCCAGAGCCGCAUUGACGCUGAGGCACGAAAGCGUGGGUAGCGAACAGG
RNAcentral lists this ribosomal RNA (253 nucleotides) under uncultured bacterium. RNAcentral's name for it is "partial 16S ribosomal RNA". It matches the Rfam family "Bacterial small subunit ribosomal RNA", at positions 524 to 776 of the family's 1533-position model. The record is from RNAcentral.